UAAUACAUGCUCUGGAUACUGACUCUAAUUGUACAAAAAUGAAUUUAUCACAUAAGUUGGAGAAUGUGGCAUAUACCUUGGGGGGAGAGGAAACCCCUGCUUGCUGACAUCUGGAAGGAAGUCUUUUUACGGAAACAAAAUUACGGUUAAUUAUAAAUUGUUUCAUAUAUGUUGACGUAUAUUUAGAAAGUUUUUGUGGUGGUUCCAAUAUGUUUUUUAAAGCUGCUACUGUAUGGGGAACGAUGCAAGACCGCACUUGGUAAACAAAUAAUUUAUGUAAAAUAUUUUUAAUUAGAAAUACUAGUUUAACGCCAGUGACAAGACACUUGCUGCUCUCUGGUUAUGCUAACAGUUUUAGUUUUUAGUUGAUAUUAAUUUUGCUACACAUUUUUAUCAGACUGAGAGUGUACUACAAAAUAUAUAAGUAAGAUAUUUACUAAAAAAUUUAACGAAUUGUAAAAACAUAGAAUACAUAAAUGACAUUUUAUAAUAUUAGUUUGCUCUUAACAUUUUAAAAUUCAAAGUCGUUACUUUCCAUUUAAAGCGUAUCAGAAUUAAGAUUUUUUUUAUUAUUGUGAUAUAUUACGUUGCGGCUUUUAUAUUUGUAUGACAGUUAUAAAUCAUUUAAUCAGUUAAGCUCAUAACAAAAAGUUAUCUUGAUAUAUUAUUAAGAUCGUCUUGUACAACAUAAAUGUAUUUUGAUACCAAAUUCAUUUGGAGCAAACCCUUUAAAUUCUCCACCUGUUAGUUCAUAAGGAAGCAAAAGAUUCGUAACCAUUUCAAAAAAUAUACAAUAUGAUAUUCAUACAGAAACAAGUAAAACAGCUAAAUAGCGCCCUAAACCCUUCCGAAUCCAAAUCCGGGCGUUUCUUGUGUAUUGCUUCGCGCAUAUUGCGCAUAACUUGCAGGUAAUAUUCCUUAUUGACCGUUCUACCCUGUGGCAAGAACUUAUGAUGCACCACGCCCCUGCAAUUUAUUUUUUCGUCUGUUAUUGAAUUGGUCGGGCGUUCGGCACGCUCUUCGUCGUUCACAUCUUCUUGGCCUUCUGAGAACUUUUUUUACCACCGAUAAUCAUUGCUUUGGUCCAAGGUAGCUUCUCCGUAUGCCACAGUCAAUUUUCGGAAUGCAUCCGCGCACUUAAUUUCGUUUUUCACACAAAAUUUGAUACAGGUUCUUUGAUUCAUUUUUUUCGAAUAGGCAAAAAUCGAAGACCAUCCAAAACACCUGCAAGAAAAUCAGCUGUUAACAACUAAGUGAACGUUCAAAAUGGCCGAGCUUGUCGACAUAAGUGACAGACAUGAGUGUCAACAUAACUCCACAAAAAAAUCAAAAUUCGAUUAAACGUAACCCGCGAAAAUUCAAAAUUCACGAUACUUUUUGAACACAAAUCGUAUAUUAUAUUGUAGAUUAUACCUUGAGCUAUCAAAUUUCUACUCACUGUAAAACAUUGUAUUUGCAGAAUUUUAUUGGGAACAUUUAAUUCAUUUCUACAUAUUUUUAGCACUUGGUAAACUAAUAAUUUAUGUGAAAUAUUUUCAAUUAUAAAUACUAGUUUACCGCCGGUAACAAGACAUUUGCUGCUCUCUGGUUAGGCUAAUAGUGGCUUAUAGUUUUAGUUGAUAUUAAAUUUUCUACACAUUUUUUAUCAGACUGGGAGUGUACUACAAACAAUAUAAGUAAGAUAUUUACUAAAAAAUUUAACGAAUUGUAAAAACAUAGAAUACAUAAAUGACAUUUUGUAAUAUUAGUUUGCUCUUAACAUUUUAAAAUUCAAAGUCGUUACUUUCCAUUUAAAGCGUAUCAGAAUUAAGAUUUUUUUUAUUAUUGUGAUAUAUUACGUUGCGGCUUUUAUAUUUGUAUGACAGUUAUAAUUCAUUUAAUCAGUUAAGCUCAUAACAAAAAGUUGUCUUGAUAUAUUAUUAAGAUCGUCAUAUAUAACAUAAAUGUAUUUUGAUACCAAAUUCAUUUGGAUCAAACCCUUUAAAUUCUCCACCUUUUAGUUCCUAAGUAAGCAAGAGAUUCGUAACCAUUUCAAAAAAUAUACAAUAUAAUAUUCAUAGAGAAACAAGUAAAACAGCUAAAUAGCGCCCUUAAACCCUGAAUUUAAAAUUGGUGAAAAAUCUCAAUAGUUGAAACAAUUAUAAAAAUAUUCGAAAUAUAACCAAAACUAGGUUAGAAGAUUUGCAAAACCUAAUAUUUCUGCCUUGCGAUCUUUAUUAAUAUUAGUAAGUACAGCUUAACUUAUUUUGAAAAUAGAAAUAACUAUCUAGGAGAUGUUCAUGAGUACUGAAUAUUCGUUUCCGUCUGGUGUCAUAGAGAGCUACAAUUCUCUUAAUAUUAUGUUAACACUAAUCGUGUUAAAACAAAACAAUUCGUUAAAGAAUAAAUUUAUUUUCUUAUCUUCGUAAAAAGAGAAGUGUAUACGGGCAUAUGCAUUUGCGCCACUGUUGUUGUAAUGCCAAAAAUUGGGGGCAGUGGCAGUACUGCGCUGGAAAAAAUAUCAGAGUUGUUCCGGCAGCAAAUCCCAAUGUCAUGGAAACUUGUCGUCUCUUAUGGCAGGAUUUUCCAUUUUAAGAUAGCAUUUGCGGUCAAUUUUAGACUCAAAAAUACCAAAAUCUUGUCGCAAAAAUUUGCAUUUUUAUUUUCGUAGAGAUUAGGCGUCAAUGGGAUAAUGCUCCAUCAGAAAUGUUAAAAAAUUAGGUUCGAAGUAUGCCAAAACAUCUUCGCGCAGUAAUUAAGAGCAAAGGUGGGAAUACUGAUUACUAAAUUUAGUUUUAAAACAAAGUUUUUUGAUUUUUUUGAAAAUUUAUACUUUCAUUUGACGCAUUUUGUUUUGAAAAUUAUUUAGUUGGGUUAAAAAACAUAUAUUUUUCAUUCGAUAUCUAGAAAAAAGUAUUUUCCUAUGUUUUUGUUAGUCACGCACCUAUGGAAAUAUGAUAACAUUGUAUCAAUUGACAUUUAUUUAUUUUAAUAAAUCAUCACUGAAA
Long non-coding RNA from Ceratitis capitata (Mediterranean fruit fly), 2987 nucleotides. RefSeq lists it as uncharacterized. The record is from RefSeq and is a predicted model, not a curated record. The transcript is spliced from 2 exons. NCBI's taxonomy places the organism in Eukaryota, Metazoa, Arthropoda, Insecta, Diptera, Tephritidae.